Molecule: small nucleolar RNA, 79 nt
Filed under: Nomascus leucogenys (northern white-cheeked gibbon)
Lineage: Eukaryota; Metazoa; Chordata; Mammalia; Primates; Hylobatidae
Description: Small nucleolar RNA U3
Rfam family: Small nucleolar RNA U3
About the family: Small nucleolar RNAs (snoRNAs) are involved in the processing and modification of rRNA in the nucleolus. There are two main classes of snoRNAs: the box C/D class, and the box H/ACA class.
Source: Rfam by way of RNAcentral
AAGACUACACUUUCAGGGAUCAUUUCUAUAGUUCGUUACUAGAGAAGUUUCUCCGAAAGUGUAGAGCACUGUAUCGUGA